Molecule: ribosomal RNA, 497 nt
Filed under: uncultured bacterium
Lineage: Bacteria
Description: partial 16S ribosomal RNA
Rfam family: Bacterial small subunit ribosomal RNA
Source: RNAcentral
GAUGAACGCUGGCGGCGUGCCUAAUACAUGCAAGUCGAGCGAACGGACGAGAAGCUUGCUUUUCUGAUGUUAGCGGCGGACGGGUGAGUAACACGUGGAUAACCUACCUAUAAGACUGGGAUAACUUCGGGAAACCGGAGCUAAUACCGGAUAAUAUUUUGAACCGCAUGGUUCAAAAGUGAAAGACGGUCUUGCUGUCACUUAUAGAUGGAUCCGCGCUGCAUUAGCUAGUUGGUAAGGUAACGGCUUACCAAGGCAACGAUGCAUAGCCGACCUGAGAGGGUGGUCAGCCACACUGGAACUGAGACACGGUACAGACUCCUACGGGAGGCAGCAGUAGGGAAUCUUCCGCAAUGGGCGAAAGCCUGACGGAGCAACGCCGCGGGAGUGAUGAGGGUCUUCGGGUCGUAAAACUCUGUUAUUAGGGAAGAACAUAUGUGUAAGUAACUGUGCACAUCUUGACGGUACCUAAUCAGAAAGCCACGGCUAACUACGUG